GACAGAGGGUGCAAACGUUGUUCGGAUUUACUGGGCGUAAAGCGCGUGUAGGCGGCUUUGCAAGUCGGAUGUGAAAUCCCACGGCUCAACCGUGGAAGUGCAUCCGAAACUGCAUCGCUGGAGUCUCGGAGAGGAAGGUGGAAUGCUUGGUGUAGAGGUGAAAUUCGUAGAUAUCAAGCGGAACACCGGUGGCGAAGGCGGCCUUCUGGACGAUGACUGACGCUGAGACGCGAAAGCGUGGGGAGCAAACAGG
This 253-nucleotide ribosomal RNA is filed under the name uncultured bacterium. RNAcentral describes it as "partial 16S ribosomal RNA". It matches the Rfam family "Bacterial small subunit ribosomal RNA", at positions 524 to 776 of the family's 1533-position model. The record is from RNAcentral.